CAGGCCUAACACAUGCAAGUCGAGCGGGCACUUCGGUGUCAGCGGCGGACGGGUGAGUAACGCGUGGGAACGUGCCUUCUGGUUCGGAAUAACUCAGGGAAACUUGAGCUAAUACCGGAUACGCCCUUUUUGGGGAAAGGUUUACUGCCGGAAGAUCGGCCCGCGUCUGAUUAGCUAGUUGGUGGGGUAACGGCCUACCAAGGCGACGAUCAGUAGCUGGUCUGAGAGGAUGAUCAGCCACACUGGGACUGAGACACGGCCCAGACUCCUACGGGAGGCAGCAGUGGGGAAUAUUGGACAAUGGGCGCAAGCCUGAUCCAGCCAUGCCGCGUGAGUGAUGAAGGCCUUAGGGUUGUAAAGCUCUUUUAUCCGGGACGAUAAUGACGGUACCGGAGGAAUAAGCCCCGGCUAACUUCGUGCCAGCAGCCGCGGUAAU
This 436-nucleotide ribosomal RNA is filed under the name uncultured bacterium. Its description in RNAcentral is "bacterial SSU rRNA". It matches the Rfam family "Bacterial small subunit ribosomal RNA", at positions 43 to 524 of the family's 1533-position model. The record is from RNAcentral.